RNAcentral lists this ribosomal RNA (592 nucleotides) under uncultured bacterium. RNAcentral describes it as "partial 16S ribosomal RNA". It matches the Rfam family "Bacterial small subunit ribosomal RNA", at positions 355 to 938 of the family's 1533-position model. The record is from RNAcentral.
UGGGGAAUUUUGGACAAUGGGCGAAAGCCUGAUCCAGCAAUGCCGCGUGUGUGAAGAAGGCCUUCGGGUUGUAAAGCACUUUUGUCCGGAAAGAAAUGGCUCUGGUUAAUACCUGGGGUCGAUGACGGUACCGGAAGAAUAAGGACCGGCUAACUACGUGCCAGCAGCCGCGGUAAUACGUAGGGUCCAAGCGUUAAUCGGAAUUACUGGGCGUAAAGCGUGCGCAGGCGGUUGUGCAAGACCGAUGUGAAAUCCCCGAGCUUAACUUGGGAAUUGCAUUGGUGACUGCACGGCUAGAGUGUGUCAGAGGGGGGUAGAAUUCCACGUGUAGCAGUGAAAUGCGUAGAGAUGUGGAGGAAUACCGAUGGCGAAGGCAGCCCCCUGGGAUAACACUGACGCUCAUGCACGAAAGCGUGGGGAGCAAACAGGAUUAGAUACCCUGGUAGUCCACGCCCUAAACGAUGUCAACUAGUUGUUGGGGAUUCAUUUCCUUAGUAACGUAGCUAACGCGUGAAGUUGACCGCCUGGGGAGUACGGUCGCAAGAUUAAAAGCUUAAAGUGAAUUUGACGGGGGCUGCAUUAGCUGUUUUCC